RNAcentral lists this ribosomal RNA (638 nucleotides) under uncultured bacterium. RNAcentral's name for it is "bacterial SSU rRNA". It matches the Rfam family "Bacterial small subunit ribosomal RNA", at positions 56 to 687 of the family's 1533-position model. The record is from RNAcentral.
UGCAAGUCGAGGGGCAGCACGAUUGAGCUUGCUUAAUUGGUGGCGACCGGCGCACGGGUGCGUAACGCGUAUGCAACCUACCUUAUACUGGGGUAUAGCCCGGAGAAAUUCGGAUUAAUCCCCCAUAGUAUUAUCGAUUCGCAUGUUUUGAUAAUUAAAGGUUACGGUAUAAGAUGGGCAUGCGUCCCAUUAGCUAGAUGGUGCGGUAACGGCUCACCAUGGCGACGAUGGGUAGGGGGCCUGAGAGGGUGGUCCCCCACACUGGUACUGAGACACGGACCAGACUCCUACGGGAGGCAGCAGUGAGGAAUAUUGGUCAAUGGGCGCAAGCCUGAACCAGCCAUGCCGCGUGCAGGAAGACGGUCCUAUGGAUUGUAAACUGCUUUUAUUUGGGAAUAAACCUCUUUACGUGUAGAGAGCUGAAGGUACCAAAUGAAUAAGCAUCGGCUAACUUCGUGCCAGCAGCCGCGGUAAGACGAAGGAUGCAAGCGUUAUCCGGAUUUAUUGGGUUUAAAGGGAGCGUAGGUGGCCUUAUAAGUCAGUGGUGAAAGACUGUCGCUUAACGACGGAAUUGCCAUUGAUACUGUAGGGCUUGAGUAUAGUUGCUGUGGGCGGAAUAUGACAUGUAGUGGUGAAAU